RNAcentral lists this long non-coding RNA (2366 nucleotides) under Mytilus galloprovincialis (Mediterranean mussel). Lineage: Eukaryota; Metazoa; Mollusca; Bivalvia; Mytilida; Mytilidae. The record is from RNAcentral.
GUAAUCAAGCAGAAUGUCAGGAAAUAUGUAUGGCAACAGAAUUUUUUGCAAUUGCGGUAAAUAUCUAUUUCGCAUCAUUAGACGGCACAUUGUGAAUACUGAAUGCUUCGAAAAUAUGAAAAGGUAUCUUUAUGAUUCAUUUUGUCAUCCAAACUUACCCAAAAAAGGACUGAGUAAAGUUCAAGUAGUCAUUUAAAAAAACGAAACAAUAUGUUUCAAAUGAAAGGCUUCAAAAAACAUGAACAAGUAUUGCACCGUUCUAACGAAUAAGUAAUGUGUUUGGGUGUCAUAAAGAAUGAACUGUCUAAUUUAAGAAACAAUUCAAUAAAAUUUAAGUAGAGAACAAGUUUUUUCGAAUAGUAGUAUUGUUCGUGAAUAGAGAAAUAUUACAAUUAUAUCGUAUACCAUCGGAAUAAUUAUCAUAAUUUAUUGCAUAAACAGUUGAUGAUGAAAAGUCAUCUUUAAAAAAAAAAAAAUACCCAAAAAGAACUAAAGCAAAAAUAUUCUAAAAAUAGAUCUGUCAGGAUAGAUUGUUGAAUUAAACUAUUUUAAAUAUUCUAGCCCAGAAAUAGCAGAGUUAAAAAUUGUCUUAAAUAAAGUCAACAGCAUCAUACCGUUGUUCAAAAGACAUAAAUCGAUUGAGGGAAAACAAAUCCGGAUUACAAACUAAAACCGAGGGAGAAACAUCAACUAUAGCAUGAAAAUAAAGGACCAACAUAAACAUCGAAGUGCAACACAAUAAUAUGCUAGGGUUGACAAGCCUAUAUGUUACUUUAUAUGUUCUAGAACAACUGUCUUAGCAGAUUUAAAGAAAUUUUAGAAGUUAUUUAUUUGCAGGAAUAUCAGAAAAUUAGAUUAACUGUUUUGGAUAGUGAUAUUUUUUACCUUUCUUAUGUUGUGUCUGAAUUUGUUCGGUUUGUGUUGUUUAUUUCAAUGAAAGUACUUUUACGAAUACAAUGUUGGAUUUAAACAGUUUUUUUUAGCUAGCUCAACCUCCAUUGUGUCCGCAAUUACAAACCAUUGUAUCUUCCUGUAUUGCAAACGUGGGCGAACAGUGUAUUUACCACAAAGUAUAAACAGUGCUUUGACUGGCGAAUAAUUUUGAUGUGAAGAAAUUAAAAUCCUAUCACUAAUACAGUCUUUUCACAAUCAUGUUCACCUUAAAACGAUUACAUGGAAAUAUGUACGUUAUAUAUUAUUAAAAAUUAUUUCUAACUUAAAAUUAAUUUUUAAACAGCAAACAAGAUGCAUGUGUUUACAACUGGGUGAUUUGAUAACGGACAAAAUCAAAGGUCCAUGCAAUUGCAGUAAUUGUGUUAUAGUUCUAAGACGUAAGAUUUUUUUUAUGUUAUAACGGAUUCGUAAUUUUACUGCCAACGUUAUGUGUAUAAUAAAGCAUCAACAAUCAAUACACUUCGUGCAUAUGCAUUUGAACCCAUGGUUAUAUGAUAUCAUGUCACUACAACCCGAACUGUAUAAAGAAGGCAGUUCAGAAGCAACAUUAAGAAUUGCAAUAUUGUUCAAUCCAUAUUUAGUAUUCUGAAACUUAUGAGACACAGUUGACCUUAGAUGUAUUUGGCAAUAUUAAAGUACGUUUUUAAUUAUCCUGCGCUAAUUCUUUUACAUCUUCGCCUUUCAAAUAUCGUCUUUAAACAUUCCCGAUGAAGGUAAAUCAUUUCAGUCUGUAAUUACAGACAAACGCUUUGGGCAAAUAAAACUAAUAUUGUUUUGUUUUCAUUUUUAAUCAUAGAAAUUUCGAAUCUUUACAAAUAGAUUGUUUAUUUUACCUUCCAGUGACAGUAUGCGAAAUGCAACUCAUAUGAAAGUUAGGUCAGCAACAUUUAAGCUCUUAAACAGAUUAAAAAUAUAAUUUUUACUUAUAAAUAACACAUUUUUUUAAUUUAACCUGAAAAUUAUCAACUCAUUAAAAAUGAGAAGUGAUAUUUUUUUUAUGAAAUCGUAAAACUACAUAAAAAUUAAAAAUGCAAAAAAGUUAUUAAUCAUGAAUUUUUUGAUUAAUUUAAAACUUUAUUGUCUACUAAAAAUUAAUCAAACAUGCAUGUAAAUUACAAGAAGACAAAUCGUAUUGAUGUGAUGUCAAUAAAAAUCUUUGUGAAGUAUAUCGAACAAAUCAUCAAUAAAUGAAAAAUUUCAAAUAUAUAAAUAUUUCUCUUUAUGUAAGUAUUUCUUUAUGAUGCAUACAUGUUGAAUAACAUCGCUGAACACUUUUUUCAGAUAAUUUUUUCAAUAUUCGUAGAGGCACGAGUUGUCAUCAAGGGGAAAGCACAUGUUUGUGUAUGGCAGCAGUUUGUAGAGACCGGAACUUAAAACUGACUUCAGAGCAAUGCAGCGCACAAUACAAAAUA